Long non-coding RNA from Schistocerca piceifrons (Central American locust), 1529 nucleotides. RefSeq lists it as uncharacterized. The transcript has 2 exons. Lineage: Eukaryota; Metazoa; Arthropoda; Insecta; Orthoptera; Acrididae. The record is from RefSeq and is a predicted model, not a curated record.
GCAUCAAAUUGCAUCAUUUUGGUUUUAGUUACAUUUAUUAUGAUAGAACAAAGAUUCAAGUUUUUUUAAAGUAUUUUUGGCUUUUUCUGGAAUAUUUUCAGAUACCUCAAUGACACAUGACAAGCCUGAUCACCCAUCAACACUUCACUACAAUCUUUACUCUCCUUGGAACAGUUACAACUGACAUACCAUGCAUACUCUUAUACAGAGUGCUAAAAAUAAAUAAAUAAAUAAACAAAAAAUAAAAAAAAGCUGUUGAAUAUUUUGAGAGGUAGUAGUACUCAUAAAAAAAAGGAAAAGUGUCUGGUAGGCCUAGAUAUGGGACCUUAAAUGCAUACCUUAAGAGCUAGAAGAACUUGUUCAUCUUCAAUAUUGUGAAACACAUCUCUUCUACUGCAAGCUCCUUGCUUUCCAUAUUUUUAGAAGUGAUAGUAUGGACAAAAACAAGGAAAAAAUGUCCAGUAAAAUAUGGGCUCAAAAGAGCAUACCUAAAGAGCCAUUAGCACUUGUUCAUCUUUGGUACUGUGAAUCUUCUAUUGAACAUAUUUGUUUCAGAGCUCAUGUUGACUCUACAUGUUUCUCUAUUACCGCCUCUGGAAAUGUUCAACACUUUUUUUUAACACCCAGUAUGCUUUGGUGUCAUCAUCAGACACUAAAGGCAAUGUCUGGGUAACAUAGCCUCCUUCUCUAUCCUUUGACAUCACUACCAUCUGGUUGUAGUUGCCACAGUCCAUUCCACCGGGACACUUCCUAAUGUGGAUGUUAUGGGCCUACUCCUUGACUUUUUUUUUUUACAGGAUUUUACCUUCUAAGAUGUUUUUCAUGAAGCUGCUGUGUUGAAUUAUGUGUCCAACUAAUUUAGUUUUCCUUUUACCAAGUUACUCAGUGUCCUUCUCUAUUUAAUUUACUUUUUGUAUUCAUUCACUAGAUUUUUCUUUCAUUCCAGGGGGUUUUUGUGGUUAAUCUCUAUCUCUGUUGCUUCUAACCUUUUUCUUUUCUUGUUUCUGCAGUGUAUAUCCCACAUAAUGGUAGCUUAAAAUGCUCUAGACCUUGUACAAAAAUUAAAUGGGCAAGCACCCAAGAAGCAUAUACCACAUAUACAAAUUUCUCCACUAAGGAUACAAGAGUUGCAAAUGAGAACCAUGUAAACAAAACAGAAGUACUUACUGAGCAGGUGAAUGUCAGCUCCCGUAAGUAGCUGAUAGAAAAUAUGGAAGUUUCGCUCUCCCAGGAGCAUGACUCGUGACGCGCGACUGCAAAGAAAGAAUGUAUUAAAAGACAGCUGGGAGAACGCAAGACCAAGUCAAGCACACAAGUGGCUGAUGGCCAGCUGUAAUGUGUUGAAUACCAUGGCUCCACAGAAAAGCAGCCCUGUUAUCUCCCAUCAGUGCCAAAGCAUCAGAAUAACUAUUAUUAAGACGAAUGCGUAAUAAUUUCUUGUUCUGUUGGAUCAUUUCAACAGUCAGUUAAUAAUGACUCACUGCCUGGUUAAUUUCAGUGUGAUUAAUAAAAAUAUUUUUGAUAAUAAA